RNAcentral lists this ribosomal RNA (468 nucleotides) under uncultured bacterium. RNAcentral describes it as "partial 16S ribosomal RNA". It matches the Rfam family "Bacterial small subunit ribosomal RNA", at positions 28 to 507 of the family's 1533-position model. The record is from RNAcentral.
GACGAACGCUGGCGGCGUGCUUAACACAUGCAAGUCGAACGGAAAGGCCCUGCUUUUGUGGGGUGCUCGAGUGGCGAACGGGUGAGUAACACGUGAGUAACCUGCCUUUGACUUUGGGAUAACUUCAGGAAACUGGGGCUAAUACCGGAUAGGAGCUCCUGCUGCAUGGUGGGGGUGGGAAAGUUUCGGCGGUUGGGGAUGGACUUGCGGCUUAUCAGCUUGUUGGUGGGGUAGUGGCUUACCAAGGCUUUGACGGGUAGCCGGCCUGAGAGGGUGACCGGCCACAUUGGGACUGAGAUACGGCCCGGACUCCUACGGGAGGCAGCAGUGGGGAAUAUUGCACAAUGGGCGGAAGCCUGAUGCAGCAACGCCGCGUGCGGGAUGACGGCCUUCGGGUUGUAAACCGCUUUCGCCUGUGACGAAGCGUGAGUGACGGUAAUGGGUAAAGAAGCACCGGCUAACUACGUG